Long non-coding RNA from Physella acuta, 400 nucleotides. RefSeq lists it as uncharacterized. NCBI's taxonomy places the organism in Eukaryota, Metazoa, Mollusca, Gastropoda, Physidae. The record is from RefSeq and is a predicted model, not a curated record.
UAUUGUGUCUUGUUUAUAUUUUAAUGUUAUUAUUUAUGCAAACUUUGUUUUGGAUUGUUGCUCCACUUUGCUUUAUGUCCUGAAUGUUACUUAUUAUUGUAUUAGGGACUAUUUUCUUGUGCGUAGCAUUGGUUUCUUUGUUCGUAGUAUUGGUUUCUUUGUUCGUGAAUGUGGUGUGUCGACAGGGAGGGACAUUCUGCUGGAAUGUCGAGGCCUGUGUGUUGAAGAGUUUCUGUGUCACGUUUAUGUGGUGUAUGGACGGUGGUCCGAAAUUGGGUGUUUUGUUCCGUUGAGUUCUGUUUCUGUUUUGUAUGUCUCCAGUGUUCUGUUUUACCUAAAUUCUAGUUUGUUUAUAAGCUUGGUUCCAUAUUUAUUUUGUUAAAUAAAUUUUAUUAUAUUG